GUGGACCGCAGAUCCUUAGCAUUUAAAGUCCCGGUUCUCGGUCCUAGGGUGUGGCCUUAGCUGUGUUUGCAAAACACACGUUUCUACUAUAAUUAUCCAAAUGCAUGACUGCCAAACUGUAGUGGACUUGGCACUUGCUCUGUGUGUGUGUGUGUGUGUGUGUGUGUUCCUCAUGGUUAUUCUGUGUGUGUGUGUGUGUGUGGUCCUCAUGGUUAUUCUGGGUCACACCAAAUCUCUCUCUCCUUUUUUUUUCCCCUCCAAAACACACGUUUCUACUAUAAUUAUCCAAAUGCAUGACUGUCAAACUGUAGUGGACUUGGCACUUGCUCUGUGUGUGUGUGUGUGUGUGUGUUCCUCAUGGUUAUUCUGUGUGUGUGUGUGUGUGGUCCUCAUGGUUAUUCUGGGUCACACCAAAUCUCUCUCUCCUUUUUUUUUCCCCUCCAAAACACACGUUUCUACUAUAAUUAUCCAAAUGCAUGACUGUCAAACUGUAGUGGACUUGGCACUUGCUCUGUGUGUGUGUGUGUGUGUGUGUGUGUUCCUCAUGGUUAUUCUGUGUGUGUGUGUGUGUGGUCCUCAUGGUUAUUCUGGGUCACACCAAAUCUCUCUCUCCUUUUUUUUUCCCCUCCAAAACACACGUUUCUACUAUAAUUAUCCAAAUGGAUGACUGUCAAACUGUAGUGGACUUGGCACUUGGUGUGUGUGUGUGUGUGUGUGUGUGUGUGUUCCUCAUGGUUAUUCUGUGUGUGUGUGUGUGUGUGUUCCUCAUGGUUAUUCUGUGUGUGUGUGUGUGUGUGGUCCUCAUGGUUAUUCUGGGUCACACCAAAUCUCUCCUUUUUUUUUCCCUGGAGGAGUGUGUGAUUGAUUUGCUCUGAAUGUAAAAUUUGGCCAAAGAUUGUUACUCUUUGAACUCCUCCACAUUCCUUCUCCCGCUGUUCCAUGACUGAUUUGCAACAUUACCUGUUAAUACUGUUUGUUGGUGAAGCUUCUUGUCGACUCAUCUGUCACCAGCAGUUACUGAAUGUCCCCCAGUGUGCAGAAUACUGAUGAAAUGCCUGAAUUCUUGCAGUGCUACAAAAUGCCAUUCUGGAGAAGACAAAGACUUGGGGCAUUUGUUUUCACUUUUUCUCCCCUCCCUCCUGUAAAUUUACUGAGUUUGAAAUCUUUUUACUCCUUCAUGUGUAAUGUGGAGAAUGUGUAUCAGUUGUUUGUUCUUAUAGUCUUGCCAUUUGGAAGACUGGCAUUCCAGAGGAGUGUUUUGUAUAGCUCAAGGAAUUUCAGUCACUUGGGUGUUCAGAGACUUAUUGCAGAUCGUUUUAGACUAAUGUAUCAAGAAAAAUAAACUGAUCCUUUUUAUUCUUUAAUUACACUUAAUAAUAGAAACAAAAGCUCUGUGUCUGGAACAACUUGGUAAUUGGGGCUUAUUUGAUAGCCUGUUUGUAAAGUGUUGCCGUUAACUAAAGCUACCUGAUUCAGCAUUCAUAAAAUGAAAUGACAGCAGUUUUUCUAAUGUGACAUUCAUAGUUCAUAAUAAUGAACUCCAAGGAAGGUACUUAAUCCUGAAGUGCACCUUCCUGCGUGUCAGUUGGAUACAAUUGCUGUCAAUAUUAAUAGCAUUUGUCUAACAGCCCUUUCUUCUGGAGAGGUAGGUACUAAAAAGGUGGUUGGCUGUUUGUCCACUUUCAGGUUUUGGAUGACCACUUGAAGCACUAAGAUUACUUAACUUGGAGUCAAGAUUGCAUUUUUUUUUUUUUGGGGGCAGAGCAAUUUUGCUGGGUAAUAUAUAUGUUAAAUUCUUUAAAACUUUAACAGGUAGCUACUUGAGAAAAAUCUUGUUUUGUAAAAUGUAGGAUAAAAAGUAUGAAUUCUAGAUUGUUUGAUGAUUGCAUUAAGGCUAGAUUUUUCUCUCCUAAGAAAAAAUGGUUGAUCAAAGGAAGGCAUGAUUAGUAAAUUGACCCUAGUUGCCCCAGCAAAAAUUCACUUUCAGAUGCUGAGUGAAACUGAGUGAAUGUACUUUAUUUCUGAUAGAUUACAAGUGACAUGUAACAGCUAACUUAAGAUUUUCUCAAAACUUUCUCCUUCAGAUGGGUGAAAAAUAGUGUCAUUCUUGAUGUUAUUUGACUCAUUUAAAGUGGUCAUUUACCUUUACUUAGUAAUUGAGCAGUAGAGACGGAUGCUUAUUUCAUUUAAUCCUAGUCUCCUUGGGGAAAAUAUUGUACUGUCACUUUUAUGAAGUUACUUAACUCUUAACUAUUAAUGCACUCCAGUGUUGGAACAUACAAUUUACUCUUUUCACUGUUUAAGGAAAACAACAUUUCAGGAACAUUUAAUCACAGUGUUGGUGGCGCCCACUGUCGCUGUGGUCUCGCCUUUCCUGUUACUUUGUAACAGGGUUUGGCCCAGUGCCUGCCUGUGCAGUGGACAUGCAGUCAGUGUUCCGACUAAUUGGAUGAAUGGCAGGGGAAAGCUCGCACGCAGUCCCCCACUACCAUAAAUUACACAGUCGAGUUUCCCCUAUUUGAGGAAAUCGCAGAGGUCAACACACCGGAGUGCAACGGGUGAGCCUCGCCCUGGGAGAACCACCUUCUUGAUAAUGGUGUCUCCUCUGCCAGCCAGAUGGAUGGAAGAAGACUGACCUUCUGCCAGCAUGCAUCUGUCCCUUUGGGUCACCUGUGGAUGGCACUUAGUGUUCAAGAUACACCUGAGCUUUGUAAGUUCACACUACUGUGCUAAGUUCAAUCACCAUUGGAGCAGCUGAAAUGGAAACAACAAAUUACAAAGCACAAGGAUUCUGGAGGAUAUAUCUGUAAUUUCUCUAAAAAUUGCUCCCUGCAUCACUCAUAUUCAAAUGAGUAUACGACAAAGUGAAUCAGUUAUACAUCCAUCCACUUUUAAAGCGAGGAGGAGCUUCCUGAUUUGGAAUGUUCUGCAUAAGGCAAAUACCACAGGACAAAGUCUGUGAGAUCAAUCCACACUAGUCUGCCAACUGAUCUUUCAGCUUCCACCAUUCUCCAAUCAGAAGCCAGGAUGAACUUUUAAUUAUAAAUUAGAAUAUGUCAUUCGCUUCCUUGAAACACUUCAAUGGGGGCUUCCCUGGGUGGUCUAGCAGUUAAGAAUCUGACUGCCAAUACAGGGAACGCGGGCUCAAUUCCUGAUCCAGGAAGAUUCCACGUGUCACGGAGCAAGUAAGCCCAAGUACCGCAACUGCUGAGCCCACACAAAUUAGAGCCCUCCUUCGCAACAAGAGAAGACACCACAGUGAGAAGCCUGCACGGCCCAACUAUGCGGCAGUCCCCACUCACUGCAGCCAAAGAAAGCCUGUGCGUAGCGACAAAAACCUAGUGGAGCCAAAAGUAAAUAAAAAAAUCUUAAAAAAAAAAAAAAAAAGCCACCUGGAGCAUUCCCAUUUCCUUAGAAUGAAAUAGAAAUUUUCACCAGGGCUUACCCAGACCCACUUCCCCUUUGCCCACCCGUCUUCACUUCUUCCCACUCUCCCUCUGGUUGACAUACUUUAUUACCAUGUUUCCAACAUGUUCCCUUCAGUCCCACCACCAGAGGAUCUGAAGAAAGCUUCCCUUCUCUGUUGCAAUUUUGUGGGGUUUUCACAUUUGGAUCUCGGCUUAUAAGUCAUCGUCUCAGAGAGGCCCUUUCUGCCUUCUCUGACCAGGCAGAGGAUCAUGUAGGGCACUGACAAAGGGUUCAACAGUGGUUUAUUAGGUUAGUGAGAAAGGGGAGUGAGAGUGUUUUAUACACUAUUAAGCAUAAAAUGCAUGUGAACAUUUGUUAGUUGUUUUUUUUUAAGUAACAAAUGCAUGUAAUAAAAUGUACACUAAUAAAUGAGACCAUGUCUUCAUGGUCACUAUGAGAGAAAGACUGCUCUAGACCUUGUAUUCCAUAAGCAUACACUUAAGAUGUGGAGUAAGACGGAGAACGCUGGAAAUUAUCUAAUUGUCCAGAAAUGAUAACUAAAAAACUCAUUAGCCGCAUGUCUGAGUGUGAAUGCCUGGCAAGUAGGAGGCUUCUUACAGAAGGGAGGUAGAGGCAAGUCUUGAGAUCUGUACAAAGACUCGAUUUACGUUUCAGGAGGUAAUGUGAGGGUGAGGACAAUAAAAUUAUUGUUGCUGAUUUCUUUUUCAUUUUCAUUUCUAUGAAUCAGAAUGUUACUGUAUAAGCUAUAUAAGUGAAUACGAUUUAAGAUAUUUCAUAAAUAGAUUCCAUUUUUCUUCUCUUGAAAUCAGCGACGUUCUAUUCCCUGGCUAUUAAA
Dama dama (fallow deer) is the source of this 4264-nucleotide long non-coding RNA. RefSeq lists it as uncharacterized. The record is from RefSeq and is a predicted model, not a curated record. NCBI's taxonomy places the organism in Eukaryota, Metazoa, Chordata, Mammalia, Artiodactyla, Cervidae. The transcript is spliced from 6 exons.